RNAcentral lists this ribosomal RNA (536 nucleotides) under uncultured bacterium. RNAcentral describes it as "partial 16S ribosomal RNA". It matches the Rfam family "Bacterial small subunit ribosomal RNA", at positions 355 to 891 of the family's 1533-position model. The record is from RNAcentral.
UAAGGAAUAUUGGUCAAUGGACGCAAGUCUGAACCAGCCAUGCCGCGUGAAGGAUUAAGGUCCUCUGGAUUGUAAACUUCUUUUAUCUGGGACGAAAAAAGGCGAUUCUUCGUCACUUGACGGUACCAGAUGAAUAAGCACCGGCUAACUCCGUGCCAGCAGCCGCGGUAAUACGGAGGGUGCAAGCGUUAUCCGGAUUCACUGGGUUUAAAGGGUGCGUAGGCGGGCAGGUAAGUCAGUGGUGAAAUCCUAGAGCUUAACUCUAGAACUGCCAUUGAUACUAUCUGUCUUGAAUAUUGUGGAGGUAAGCGGAAUAUGUCAUGUAGCGGUGAAAUGCUUAGAUAUGACAUAGAACACCUAUUGCGAAGGCAGCUUACUACGCAUAUAUUGACGCUGAGGCACGAAAGCGUGGGGAUCAAACAGGAUUAGAUACCCUGGUAGUCCACGCCCUAAACGAUGAUUACUCGACAUUUGUGAUACACUAUAAGUGUCUGAGCGAAAGCAUUAAGUAAUCCACCUGGGAAGUACGACCGCAA